CAGCCGCCGCGGUAAUACCGGCGGCCCGAGUGGCGGUCACUAUUAUUGGGCUUAAAGCGUCCGUAGCCGGGUUGGGAAGUCCUCCGGGAAAUCUGGCCGCUUAAAGGUCAGAAUGCCGGAGGAUACUCCCAGCCUAGGGAGCGGGAGAGGCCGAGGGUAUUCCCGGAGUAGGGGUGAAAUCCUAUAAUCCCGGGAGGACCACCUGUGGCGAAGGCGCUCGGCUGGAACGCGUCCGACGGUGAGGGACGAAGGCCAGGGGAGCAAACCGGAUUAGAUACCCGGGUAGUCCUGGCUGUAAACGAUGCGGACUUUGUGUCGGACAAGCUAUGAGCUUGUCCGGUGCCGGAGGGAAACCGUUAAGUCCGCCGCCUGGGGAGUACGGCCGCAAGGUUGAAACUUAAAGGAAUUGGCGGG
Molecule: ribosomal RNA, 414 nt
Filed under: uncultured microorganism
Description: bacterial SSU rRNA
Rfam family: Archaeal small subunit ribosomal RNA
Source: RNAcentral